CCUACGGGAGGCAGCAGUGGGGAAUUUUGGACAAUGGGGGCAACCCUGAUCCAGCAAUGCCGCGUGAGUGAAGAAGGCCUUCGGGUUGUAAAGCUCUUUUGUCAGGGAAGAAACGGUGAUCUCUAAUACAGAUUACUAAUGACGGUACCUGAAGAAUAAGCACCGGCUAACUACGUGCCAGCAGCCGCGGUAAUACGUAGGGUGCAAGCGUUAAUCGGAAUUACUGGGCGUAAAGCGUGCGCAGGCGGUUAUAUAAGUCAGAUGUGAAAUCCCCGGGCUCAACCUGGGAACUGCAUUUGAGACUGUAUGGCUAGAGUGUGUCAGAGGGGGGUAGAAUUCCACGUGUAGCAGUGAAAUGCGUAGAUAUGUGGAGGAAUACCGAUGGCGAAGGCAGCCCCCUGGGAUAACACUGACGCUCAUGCACGAAAGCGUGGGGAGCAAACAGGAUUAGAUACCCUGGUAGUCCACGCCCUAAACGAUGUCUACUAGUUGUCGGGUCUUAAUUGACUUGGUAACGCAGCUAACGCGUGAAGUAGACCGCCUGGGGAUACGGUCGCAGNUAAACGUUAAGGAAUUGACGGNUGNGAGNGCGAGNGAGAGAGGAGAGG
This 608-nucleotide ribosomal RNA is filed under the name uncultured bacterium. RNAcentral's name for it is "bacterial SSU rRNA". It matches the Rfam family "Bacterial small subunit ribosomal RNA", at positions 338 to 943 of the family's 1533-position model. The record is from RNAcentral.